CUUUCAUCAAUGGCAGGUAUGUAUUAUUAUAAUUAACAUUUUUAUUUGAUUCAAGAUAUCUUCUCCUUGAUAUGACUGUGAUUCUAUGUCCGUAUGUCUAAGGAAUUUAUGUAAUCAGUUUCAAAUAGUAAGUUGUCCACUUAUGAAAUUUAUGCCCAAGGUUCUCAAACAGAAGUUAAAAUAUUGAACCAACAAGAACCGUCGGGAGACGGUAACCGCUUUCCUGGUCCUGGUAGACGGAUUGUUGAUCAAGAACCCCCGAGAGAAAGCAUUAAAGAAGAGCUUCCUCCAGUGAAUAUGCAUAGGUCCCAGAUUGGUGACAAUACUGUUACGGCAGGCCGGAACAGUCGGGAUGUUGGAGCGUCAAACUUUGAUAAUGUACAAGGUCCAGAGCAAGCCCAACGUGAUGGUUACGACAUUCGUGGCAAUACAGUUACUGGAGGUGAAGGAGCCAGUCGUAUUGGAUUUCACAACUUUGGCAACACCACACCUGGCUGGAACUGUAGGAUCCUGUAGUUUGGGAGAAAAAGAAGCUGAAUCGAAGUUAGCAUAAACCAAUUGAAGAAGGACAUGAUCAAUAAAAAGAAAAACGUAGUCUGUUCUUCCAUGCUUUAAUUUUUCAUUUUUCAUUUUAGCUUUAAGGUUAAUGGUGUGUAUUCGAUGUACGAAAAUAAGAGCUGAUACAGCAAAGAUCUAGGCAAGUUCAAAAUAUCAAGAAAUGGCAUCUGCAAUUCUGAUCAGUCUUGUCCAUUCUUCUGUCAUCACUUCCUGUAAUGUUUUC
RNAcentral lists this long non-coding RNA (781 nucleotides) under Prunus dulcis (almond). RNAcentral's name for it is "sRNA ncRNA". Lineage: Eukaryota; Viridiplantae; Streptophyta; Magnoliopsida; Rosales; Rosaceae. The record is from RNAcentral.